This 1260-nucleotide ribosomal RNA is filed under the name metagenome. RNAcentral's name for it is "bacterial LSU rRNA". It matches the Rfam family "Bacterial large subunit ribosomal RNA", at positions 1660 to 2925 of the family's 2925-position model. The record is from RNAcentral.
GAGGUGGACAAGAUGAGUAUUCUCAGGCGCUCGGGUGAUGGUCUGCGAAGGAACUAGGCAAAUUAGCUCCGUAACUUCGGGAGAAGGAGUGCCCACCUCAGACGUGGGUCGCAGUGAAUAGCGUCAGGCGACUGUUUAACAAAAACACAGGUCUCUGCUAAGUCAAAAAAACGACGUAUAGGGGCUGACGCCUGCCCGGUGCCGGAAGGUUAAAAGGAGGGGUUAGUCGCAAGGCGAAGCUCUGAAUUGAAGCCCCGGUGAACGGCGGCCGUAACAAUAACGGUCCUAAGGUAGCGAAAUUCCUUGUCGGGUAAGUUCCGACCUGCACGAAUGGCGUAACGAUCUGACGACUGUCGGCGCAGGCCGCCCGGCGAACUUGUGGUUCCGGUGAAGACGCCGGAUGCCCGCCACUGGACGAAAAGACCCCGUGCACCUUUACUAUACUUUAACAAUGAAUUAUGGGAUGGACUGCGUAGGAUAGGUGGGAGGCUUUGAACCCGGAUUCUUGGAUUCGGGGGAGCCAAUGGUGAAAUACCACCCUGUUUAUUCUGUGAUUCUAACCUACCGACCUGAUCGGCCGGAGGGACAUUGUUAGACGGGCAGUUUGACUGGGGCGGUCGCCUCCAAAAUUGUAACGGAGGCGUGCGAAGCUUGGUUCAGGAGGUUUGGAAAUCCUCCUUCGAGUGCAAUAGCAUAAACCAGGUUGACUGUGAGACCUACAAGUCAAGCAGCUGCGAAAGCAGGCUAUAGUGUUCCGGUGAUUCUGUAUGGAAGGGUCAUCGCUCAACGGAUAAAAGGUACGCCGGGGAUAACAGGCUGAUCGGAGUCAAGAGUUCAUAUCGACGCUCCGGUUUGGCACCUCGAUGUCGGUUCAUCGCAUCCCGGGGGUGUAGAAGCUCCCAAGGGUUAGGCUGUUCGCCUAUUAAAGCGGUACGUGAACUGGGUUCAGAACGUCGCGAGACAGUUCGGUCUCUAUCUGUGGUGGGCGUAGGAAAUUUGAAAGGAUCUGCCUUUAGUACGAGAGGACCGAGGUGGACGAACCUCUUGUGAUCCAGUUGUCCCGCCAGGGGCACCGCUGGGUAGCGAAGUUCGGUUAGGAUAAGCGCUGAAUGCAUAUAAGCGCGAAACCUUCCUUAAGAUGAGAUUUCCCAAGCGCAAGCUAUGAAGGGGCGUGGAAGACGACCACGUUGAUAGGCCGGGUGUGUAAGCGUAGUAAUACGUUAAGCUGACCAGUACUAAUCGCCCGUUCGGCUUGACCUG